GCAGCAGCCGCGGUAAUACGUAGGUGGCAAGCGUUGUCCGGAAUUAUUGGGCGUAAAGCGCGCGCAGGCGGAUCAGUCAGUCUGUCUUAAAAGUUCGGGGCUUAACCCCGCGAUGGGAUGGAAACUGCUGAUCUAGAGUAUCGGAGAGGAAAGUGGAAUUCCUAGUGUAGCGGUGAAAUGCGUAGAUAUUAGGAAGAACACCAGUGGCGAAGGCGACUUUCUGGACGAAAACUGACGCUGAGGCGCGAAAGCCAGGGGAGCGAACGGGAUUAGAUACCCCAGUAGUCCCUGUCUCUUAUACA
This 302-nucleotide ribosomal RNA is filed under the name uncultured bacterium. RNAcentral's name for it is "partial 16S ribosomal RNA". It matches the Rfam family "Bacterial small subunit ribosomal RNA", at positions 508 to 809 of the family's 1533-position model. The record is from RNAcentral.